RNAcentral lists this long non-coding RNA (1088 nucleotides) under Marmota monax (woodchuck). The record is from RNAcentral. Lineage: Eukaryota; Metazoa; Chordata; Mammalia; Rodentia; Sciuridae.
CACACACACACAUACAUACAAUGGAAUAUUACUCAGCCUUAAAAGAGAAUAAAAUUAUGGCCUUUGCAGGAAAAUGGAUGGAAUUGGAGAAUAUCAUGCUCAGCGAAGUAAGCCAAUCCCCCAAAACCAAAGGCCGAAUGUUCUCUCUGAUAAGUGAAUGCUGAUCCAUAAUAGGGGGCGGGGCGUGGGGAGAAUGGAGGAACUUUGGGCAAAGAAGAGGGAGAAGAGGGAAUGGGGGCAGGAAAGAUGGUGGAAUGAGGUAAGCAUCAUUACCCUAGGUGCAUGUAUGACUGCUAAUAUGGUACAAUGCUAUAUCAUGUACAACCAAAGAAAUGAAAAGUUGUACUCCAUUUAUGUACAAUGAACUGAAAUGUAUUCUGCUGUCAUGUAUAACUAAUUAGAACAAAAAAUAAAGACAGAGCAAGGGUGUAGCUUAGUGGUAGAGCACAUACUUAGCAUGCACAAGGCCUUGUUUUCAAUCCCCAACACCAAAACAAACAAGCAAACACACCGGGGUACAAGCUUACAAGAACAAUAAAAUAUGUGCUACAAGAGAAGUUCCAAAGGGAAAAUGCCCAAGAUACCUGUGAUACAGUCUGGGCAAUAAAAUUAAUGAAGUAUAACAGCAAAAUUUAGUUUAAAACAAACAUGGAUCGAUUUACCCAAGUGAUUGAUUUAUACAAGCUGUCAGUGUCCUUGGAGGCUAUUGAUUUAUUCCAAUAAGAAUGCAAGUUCAGAAAUGAUUUACAGAAUGAAGGAGCUGUUUUUUUUCUCAUUAUCUGAUGGAAAUAAUUUGAUUUCUGGCUAAAGGAUAACACUGCCCAACUUGGUCACCUGCAUUAAUUGUCAACUUGAAUGUAUGCUUACUGUUUUAAAUAUCCAAUCUGUACUUGGAGAGCAAAGUUAUGACCCUAAUGAAGAAUUCUAAAGAAUAUGUGUGUCAGAUUCUGAAGGGAGUUUCUAAAGAAUUUUAAAAAUGCUUCAAGCAAUGGAAGCAUCAUUAAAAUAAAUUGCUUUGAAGAAGAGAACAUUCAUGUGCAUGAACGAAUAUAUACAUUCGUUGGUAGAACAGAUUUAAAACAAGUGUC